Small nucleolar RNA from Poecile atricapillus (Black-capped chickadee), 130 nucleotides. RefSeq annotates it as small nucleolar RNA SNORA17. NCBI's taxonomy places the organism in Eukaryota, Metazoa, Chordata, Aves, Passeriformes, Paridae. The record is from RefSeq and is a predicted model, not a curated record. The transcript has a single exon.
AUUAACUCCUUAGAAAUUGAGAGUUACUGUGCCUUUUAUAUUCACUUCAUAGGAGUUAAAGUGAACAAGGCUUGUGUUUUAACUCUCGAUUUUCAGGGUCACAUCUGAGAACUCCAAAUGUCUCCAGUGU